GGAAGGAUCAUUAGAUAUCUGCACUAAGGUUCCCCCGAGCCUGUGAUACCUUCCGACACCCACCCUCUGUGGCUUUUCCCGUUGCUUCCAUGGGGUAUGGAGCGGGCUGGCCCCGAUAUACUCCCUGUGGGCCAGGAAGGUAUUAAUUCCCUGGUUUGGUGCCCAUGAAUGAACCUUACAAAACAUUUGUAUUUAUUUUGCCUUCUGUCUGAAUUAUGUUAAUAACAAUCGUUAAAACUUUCAACAACGGAUCUCUUGGUUCUCGCAUCGAUGAAGAACGCAACGAAAUGCGAUAAGUAGUGUGAAUUGCAGAAUUCAGUGAAUCAUCGAAUCUUUGAACGCACAUUGCGCCUUCUGGUAUUCCGGGAGGCAUGCCUGCUCGAGCGUCAUGACGACGAUAUUUCAAGCUCUUUUUUGCUUGGUUCUGAAGGUUGAGUGUCGCAUUUGUGCUCAUUCACCUUUGAAAUUUACAGGCGGACUGCUUCGUGUUCCUUUUGGCGUUAUAGGAUAACUCUUUCGCUUGGACUCGUUGGCCUGUCCUGCCGUCAAACCCCCAACUAUUUUGACGUUGACCUCGGCUUGGUAGGGAUACCCGCUGAACUUAAGCAUAUCAAUAAGCGGAAAAGAAANNNNNNNNNNNNGCCUUAGUAACUGCGAGUGAAGCGGCAAAAGCUCAAAUUUGAAAUCGGGUGUCUUUGGCAUGAGUUGUAAUUUGGAGGGAUAUCUUCGGAGCUGGCGCUGUCCUAAGUUCUUUGGAACCAGACAUCAUAGAGGGUGAGAAUCCCGUGCAUGGCUGGAUGUCCAGCUCCAUGAGAACUGUCUCCGACGAGUCGAGUUGUUUGGGAAUGCAGCUCAAAAUGGGUGGUAAAUUUCAUCUAAAGCUAAAUAUUGGCGAGAGACCGAUAGCGCACAAGUAGAGUGAUCGAAAGAUGAAAAGCACUUUGAAAAGAGAGUCAAAAAGUACGUGAAAUUGUUGAAAGGGAAGCGCUUGAGACCAGAUUCGAGUCGCGGUCAUCAGUCGUGCUUYUGUACGGUGCCACUUGCCGUCGGUUGAGCCAGCAUCGGUUCCGGCGGGGGAUAAAGGUUUCAGGAAUGUGGCUCCUCAAUCGGGGAGUGUUAUAGCCCUCAGGGCGUAAUGCCGCCUGGGAUCGAGGACCACCGCGCUUGUGCUAGGAUGCUGGCUAAUGGUCUUAAGCGACCCGUCUUGAAACACGGACCAAGGAGUCUAACAUCUAUGCGAGUGUUCGGGUGGAAACCCUUGGCGCGUAAUGAAGUGAACGGAGGUGGAACCCUCUCAGGGGUGCACCAUCGACCGAUCCUGAUGUCUUCGGAAGGAUUUGAGUAGGAGCAUAGCUGUUGGGACCCGAAAGAUGGUGAACUAUGCCUGAAUAGGGUGAAGCCAGAGGAAACUCUGGUGGAAGCUCGCAGCGGUUCUGACGUGCAAAUCGAUCGUCAAAUUUGGGUAUAGGGGCGAAA
Molecule: ribosomal RNA, 1476 nt
Filed under: uncultured fungus
Lineage: Eukaryota; Fungi
Description: eukaryotic LSU rRNA
Rfam family: Eukaryotic large subunit ribosomal RNA (bases 570-1476)
Source: RNAcentral